Molecule: ribosomal RNA, 253 nt
Filed under: uncultured bacterium
Lineage: Bacteria
Description: partial 16S ribosomal RNA
Rfam family: Bacterial small subunit ribosomal RNA
Source: RNAcentral
UACGAAGGGGGCUAGCGUUGUUCGGAUUUACUGGGCGUAAAGCGCACGUAGGCGGUUUGUUAAGUCAGGGGUGAAAUCCCGGAGCUCAACUCCGGAACUGCCUUUGAUACUGGCAAGCUAGAGUCCGGAAGAGGUAAGUGGAACUCCUAGUGUAGAGGUGGAAUUCGUAGAUAUUCGGAAGAACACCAGUGGCGAAGGCGGCUCACUGGACCGGCAUUGACGCUGAUGUGCGAAAGCGUGGGGAGCAAACAGG